Molecule: ribosomal RNA, 253 nt
Filed under: uncultured bacterium
Lineage: Bacteria
Description: partial 16S ribosomal RNA
Rfam family: Bacterial small subunit ribosomal RNA
Source: RNAcentral
UACGUAGGGGGCGAGCGUUGUCCGAAGUUACUGGGCGUAAAGCGCGCGUAGGCGGGCUGUUAAGUGAGAGGUGAAAGGCUGGGGCUCAACUCCAGCAGUGCCUCUCAUACUGGCAGUCUUGAGGGCGGUAGAGAGAAGUGGAAUGGCUGGUGUAGCGGUGAAAUGCGUAGAUAUCGGGAGGAACACCUGUGGCGAAAGCGGCUCACUGGACCACAACUGACGCUGAUGCGCGAAAGCUAGGGGAGCAAACAGG